This 222-nucleotide ribosomal RNA is filed under the name Phyllocephalinae sp. WCW-2007. RNAcentral describes it as "partial 16S ribosomal RNA". The stretch from base 1 to 162 matches the Rfam family "Bacterial large subunit ribosomal RNA", at positions 1801 to 2021 of the family's 2925-position model. The record is from RNAcentral. Lineage: Eukaryota; Metazoa; Arthropoda; Insecta; Hemiptera; Pentatomidae.
UGUUUAUCAAAAACAUGUCUUAAUGGAUAUUUUUAUUAAGUCUAGCCUGCUCAAUGAUUUAUAAUUAAAUAGCCGCAGUAUUUUGACUGUGCGAAGGUAGCAUAAUCAUUUGUCUUUUAAUUAAAGGCUUGUAUGAAUGGUUGGAUGAGGGGGUAGCUUUCUUUGUAUUAAUAAUUGAAUUUAAUUUUUUAGUCAAAAAGCUUAAAUAUAUAAAUGGGACGA